AACGAACGCUGGCGGCAGGCCUAACACAUGCAAGUCGAGCGCCCCGCAAGGGGAGCGGCGGCCGGGUGAGUAACGCGUGGGAACGUACCCUUUGCUACGGAAUAGCCUCGGGAAACUGGGAGUAAUACCGUAUGUGUCCUUCGGGAGAAAGAUUUAUCGGCAAGGGAUCGGCCCGCGUUGGAUUAGGUAGUUGGUGGGGUAAUGGCCUACCAAGCCGACGAUCCAUAGCUGGUUUGAGAGGAUGAUCAGCCACACUGGGACUGAGACACGGCCCAGACUCCUACGGGAGGCAGCAGUGGGGAAUCUUAGACAAUGGGCGCAAGCCUGAUCUAGCCAUGCCGCGUGAGCGAUGAAGGCCUUAGGGUUGUAAAGCUCUUUCAGGGGGGAAGAUAAUGACUGUACCCCCAGAAGAAGCCCCGGCUAACUCCGUG
This 431-nucleotide ribosomal RNA is filed under the name uncultured bacterium. RNAcentral describes it as "partial 16S ribosomal RNA". It matches the Rfam family "Bacterial small subunit ribosomal RNA", at positions 29 to 507 of the family's 1533-position model. The record is from RNAcentral.